UAUUUGAUGCACAUUUCAAUGGUAUUUCGAGAGUGACUUGCAACCAAUCAUGGUAUUUUUGUAAAAAUACUUUCUCAGUUCUCUUAGAAGCCUGCCAUUUUGCUUUCAUUUCCGAUUUAAGUCGCGAAAAUUUUCGAAGAAACUGUUGCGUUUGCUCGGUCGGGAUAGUAGAUCGAUUUAUAAUUUGCUUCUCGACUAAAUCCAAUUUUUUUGCAAAAUCUUUUACUUCGUAUUCUUUUGUCAUGCGAUAGAUGUAUUCCCGUGUCACAAUCUUCAAACCAGACGGGCCUAUAACAAGGAAAAGCUUAGAUAAAUAGAGUUUCUACAUACCUGACUCUACAAUAUCCAUUAUCAAAAUAAC
Molecule: unclassified non-coding RNA, 361 nt
Filed under: Melitaea cinxia (Glanville fritillary)
Lineage: Eukaryota; Metazoa; Arthropoda; Insecta; Lepidoptera; Nymphalidae
Description: misc RNA ENSMCXG00005012636.1
Source: RNAcentral